GCCCAGGUGGCGGAAUUGGCAGACGCGCUAGGUUGAGGGCCUAGUGAGCUAACCACGCUCGUAAGGGUUCAAGUCCCUUCCUGGGCACCA
Molecule: transfer RNA, 90 nt
Filed under: Chloroflexus aurantiacus
Lineage: Bacteria; Bacillati; Chloroflexota; Chloroflexia; Chloroflexales; Chloroflexaceae
Also listed under: 13 other names
Description: tRNA-Leu
Rfam family: tRNA
About the family: Transfer RNA (tRNA) molecules are approximately 80 nucleotides in length.
Source: RNAcentral